This 270-nucleotide unclassified non-coding RNA is filed under the name Hevea brasiliensis (rubber tree). Lineage: Eukaryota; Viridiplantae; Streptophyta; Magnoliopsida; Malpighiales; Euphorbiaceae. The record is from RNAcentral.
GGAAGGUGUGGAAGAAGCCUUGGAGAAUUUGAAGCAUUUGGAAGAAGAGUUAAAAGGAAAGAGGUUCUUUGGAGGGGAGGCCAUUGGGUUUGUGGAUAUUACGGUUGGGUGGCUUGCAAACAUAGCAAGUGUAGUGGAGGAAGUUGUUGGAGUUGAACUGAUAACUGAACAAAGGUUUCCCCUCUUGUCCAAAUGGAUAAAGGAAUUUGCUGCCUCUCCAAUCAUCAAUGAAAACUGGCCGCCUAGAGACAAGCUUGUCACUAAGUACCA